Molecule: long non-coding RNA, 742 nt
Filed under: Cicer arietinum (chickpea)
Lineage: Eukaryota; Viridiplantae; Streptophyta; Magnoliopsida; Fabales; Fabaceae
Description: long non-coding RNA (CARI_LNC001584)
Source: RNAcentral
UUCAUUCUGAGAAGUACAGUUUGUCGAUGAUGAAGAACUAGACCAUUUCAGCACUGAAUGAGGAUAACAAAGAAAAGCUUCACUUGGUUCAGAAAAUGCUUUAAAUCUAGCUUCACACUCCACCUGCCAAAAUUUGUUACAAAUACAUGUAACUACCUUUUAUACGGCAAAUUCAUAACCAAUUGAAAUUUUUUAAAAUGGAGACAUAUUUUAAUUUACUUAAUUACAUUGAGCAGGCUGGAAGGGUGGUUUGUUCUGUUGAGCAAGAAGCUAUUUUGAUACAAACGGAGAAAAUAUUUCUGUGCAUGACUUGCCACCUGGGUUGGUGUUUUUGUUGUCACAAAUUCUUUAGAUAUAUCUCUCCAUUUACCCUUCCCAAGCUUCUCAAGUCCUCUAACAAAUAACUUGUUCUCCUCUUCAGUCCAUGCCAUACCUGAACAUCAAAAAAUAUGUUAUUUUAAUUUCUAUUCCUAGCUGCAAUUCAUUCUCAUAAAUUGUUUUUAACACUUGUCAACUUGAGUAUAAUUAUAACCUUUUUUACCAUCUCGGAUUGUUGAUAUGACGCAACUGCCUAAAUAUUUAUCUGAAUUUUCAUUUGCACCAAACAGGGUAGGCAAGGAGGAGGAUAUUGCUAAAGAGGUUUGUGACGAUAGCAUUGAAUCCAUGUUGAAACUCCUUUUAGUGCCCAAAUAUGAAGUUGAAGAAGAAUAAAAAUCAAGUUGUUUGUGACUCAUACUAUUAU